RNAcentral lists this long non-coding RNA (676 nucleotides) under Mus spicilegus (steppe mouse). Its description in RNAcentral is "lncRNA (ENSMSIG00000005591.1)". Lineage: Eukaryota; Metazoa; Chordata; Mammalia; Rodentia; Muridae. The record is from RNAcentral.
AAUAUCAUUGGAAUGAGCCCCCUUGGCAGAUGUACAGGUCCUGAUGACAGGUAUUUUCCAGGUCCAGGGUCCCACAAUCACAGCUCUAAAAGAUUCUCUGUGUGAAGUGUUUGAAGAAGUGGUGGACGUGACACUGAUCUUGGAGCUGCAUUCCCUGACUCUGUUAAGUGCAUUGUGUACACUACAAAGCCACAUUGCCUUUCGGCAGAAUGAGCACCAAAAAUUCAAGUCAUUACCAAGACUCUUUUCUUCCCAACAGAUACUUUCCAGGACAAAGUAGUUCGUGUUCUUCAGUGCUGGAAGUAGCAGAAACCAAAGGGCUCACAGUUGUAUGAAAUAGUCCAUUGGAUAGUCGAUGUUUUGCAUAUGCCUAUGGUUUAACAUGCAAGAGUAUCUGGAAGUUCAAGCAAGAACUGUGCAGUGAGUGAUUUUUGAGGACUACAAGAAGAAUGAAUCAAAGACAUUAUCAACUAGCCAUCAUUCCUUAUACUGGCUUCAUCUUAACCAAAUCUGGAAACACACCCCAGACUGACAUUGUUUAGAGAGUGAACUCAGUGUAAAUCCCACGAUCCUCUCUGAGUGUUACAAUCACCAAAGCUAAAGACCCACUGGGUCGACGUUUUUCUCUAUUCUUCUCUCUGGGAUAAUAAAAGAAUUACUUCUUGUUGAAUAAAAG